AAUAACAGAAAAUAAACAAUACUGUUCUAACACAGAAAUGAGCGAUUGGUUAUUCACAAUCACAAGGACAAUGCUUUAGUACAUAAACGAGAGGUUGGUUAGGCACAAAUGUUAACUAAAACCCAAGUUCUUCCAUUCCAGAAAUGACAAAUCAUUCCUAUUUAUAAUGCUUUGUUUUCAAUGAAAAUGACAUUAGCCAAAAGUGUUUUGGCAAGAAUUAGUUGUUGGAAUACAAUAUAUCUUUACAACGCACAACUGCAUGAGCUUUGAAGGACCCCGGCCGGUUUAUGAUGAGAGUGAACUAUUUGAAAAGUGGACCACAUAAUUGUAGAAAAAUAAUGGGUAAUAUAGUGUGAUGCAAAUUGGUGUGAAGUUUUUUGAGUUAUUUUUUCUUUCUUUUUCUGAAAUGUAAUCAUUCGUGUGAAUGAGAGAUUUCUUGUAUUUUGUUCAAUAUAUUAA
This 459-nucleotide small RNA is filed under the name Arabidopsis thaliana (thale cress). RNAcentral describes it as "putative long intergenic non-coding RNA". The record is from RNAcentral. Lineage: Eukaryota; Viridiplantae; Streptophyta; Magnoliopsida; Brassicales; Brassicaceae.